Molecule: long non-coding RNA, 5838 nt
Filed under: Glycine max (soybean)
Lineage: Eukaryota; Viridiplantae; Streptophyta; Magnoliopsida; Fabales; Fabaceae
Description: long non-coding RNA (GMAX_LNC000748)
Source: RNAcentral
AAAAUUACAACCUUCUCCUAAAAUCAUGAUUUCCUUCAUAUUUAACUUUUCCUUGUUGCAUCAUGGCCAUAAAAAGCAAAGUUGGUGCAAGAAAUAGGAUCGAAUUUUUCAUUGUUGUUGGGGUUCUCCAGAACGCCAAAUACAACUAAAAGCACAACAUUGGUCUUUUCAUCUGCAAAUUGCAAUCACAAAAAGGAAAAAAGGAUCCUGUCUCUUUCAUUUGUUCCCUUUCUGAAGAAGUUGACCUCAAAUUUGCAUCGCACACUUUUCACUUUCAAAUUGUACUGUGAUCUCAAAUUUCAAUUUACCUAACAUAAAAGGCUUUGAUUUUUUUUUUCUUAACCCUUUUCAAUUUGGUGCAAAAAGGUGCAGAAUUUGUGUGACUUAGGUUGUUUUGGCGGUUCUGGAUGGAACUGUGCUUCUCAUAUUGCAUUUGGGAGUCCCUAGUCAGAAACAAAUGGUUCUUACUCUCUUCCUUAAAUUUCCCUUCUUCUUCCACUCAUUUCUUGAAAAAAGUAUUCUUUGCAAAAUUGGCAUCACGAUCAAUCUUCCAAGAAUCAACUCUCUCCACGGUCGACCAAGCCUCACCAUCCCCUUUGUCACCAUUUGUUGCAUCCGGGGUGGAGAAGCCUUCUUUCAUUGCUGGGAGACUUAUGGAGAGAGAAGAAAGGGAGUGUUUUUAAGGAUAUUUUUGGAAAUUAGAAUUAAAAGAAUUAGGGGGAGUGCAACUAGUAAUAGUCUUGUGUACAUUGUUUUUGGUUGGUCUAGAGAAAUUCGGGGGCCAUGAAUCCUUUUACUUUUUCUUUGGGUACGCCACAUGAGCGUGGUGGAGAAGAAGGUGUGAAUUUCUUUCAUGCACAUGCAUGCAACAUUGAUAAGAAAUAAAACAAAUUAUAAUAUAAAUAAAUGUCACCGUGACUUACCACGGGCCUGGAACAGUGGGAUUAUUUCUUAUGCUUAUUGUUUAGCAAGAAAGAAUAUAGGUUUUAUGUUAGUCAUCAUGUAUUUGAGUUCAGUCCAACUUGUAUUGACACUAUUAUAGUAUUAUUCAUGAAGUGAUAUGAGUUUUUUAUUUAUUUAAAAAAACAGGUCUUAUUGCAUGUAGACCUAAAAGAGGACGUUUGUCAACCGGUUCGUUUAAGUUUAUUUUUUUUAAAUAAACAGUUUUAUACUUUAGUGAUGUAUUUGUCUAAAAUGUUUUUUAAAAAAUAUUUUUCUAUUUUUUAAGAAAUAAAUUUUAUCUACUUCUUAAAAAUUAAUUUUUUAUUUUUUUAAAAUAUAAACAAAUUGGCCCUAUACGAAAAUUUCCCUAAAAUUUGAAUCUCACGGUAGAAAGAAUAAAAUGUGUAAGUUGAAGAAGGCUUUCCUUAUUUAUUUUUUUUUCUACUGUUUCAUAUUUUUCAAACUCUUUUUUAGGUGAAUGUAUUUUUCAAACUCUACGCUUAUACUUUUUAUAUUCUUUUAAACAGUAAUUUAAUACAUUUCAAUUUUUUUUAGUUUUUCAAAAUUGAUCAUAUUUGUUUUUCUUCGUAAUAAAAUUCAUCCUGCAGCAGCAACGACCAAAAAAAAUAUUUCAUCCAGCAUUCUACUGUAAAAAAAAUAUUAUUCCAUUAUAUUUACCAUCAUCUUUCUUUUAUUCAUUUUUUACUUUUCAAUUUGUUUAUAUUCUAUAAUUUUCAAUAUUUAAAAAUAAUCUUAUCAUAGAGAAAUAUUGACUUAAUUAUGUUUUUUAGUCCUUAAAUUUUAGAAUAAAAUGUAAAUCCAUUUUUGGUCCCCCAAAUUGAAAAAUAAAAAGUUCAUUUUAAUAUUUCAAAUUCAAAAAAUACAUUUUCAAUCUUUGGAACCAAAUAACAUUAAUAGAUUUGGUGAUGUGGUGCUUUGAAAGUGAACACAUAUAUGUCAAACAUUAGCAAUGUCACGUCACUACUUUCAUUAAUUUUGUCUAGCUCCAAUGAUUAAAAAUGUAAUUUUUGAAAUUUUAGGGACUGGUUAAAAUGAUUUUUUUCCAAUAUGUGGACCAUUGAUUUAUUUAAAAUUUUAGAGACUAAUAAUAUAAUUAAGCCAAUAAUAUUUUACAUUUUGUUUUUGAUUAUUUUUAAAUUAGUUUUUGUGAUUAUUUAUAAUUGCUACAAUACCAUGCUUUGAUUGCUUUCUUUCAUUAUUGUCACGUAUUUUCAUCUUUUGAAAAAAAUAUUUUUAUUUUAAUAUUUAUCUUAUAUGUCAUGAUUGUGUUUGGUAAUACACUCAUGGAGUUUUGUUUGUCACGUAACUUUAUUUUAAUAGCUUAUUACUUCAAGUAACUUACAACUUACAAAAAUGAGUUACUUUUAUUUAUAAGUGAUUAACUUUUUUUUUUCUUUUUCAUUUAUAUCUCAUUAUUUGACUUGUGUUUUCUUUUUAACUUUUUUAAUCAAAUAUUUAAUUAUAUUCUUUUAUGUCAUUUUAUAUUCUUUAUCAAACUUAUAUGUUAAUCUUACAAAACAUUUAAAUCAACAAACAUAUUAUUUUUUAAUUUUUCAGUUAAUUUUACCUAACAUAUCAGUCUCCAACUGAGUUAUUUGACUGCUAUUAAACCAUUCACAUAUGUUCAAUUUUGUAAACUUUAAUUACGUUCCAGAUGUCCAGUUCUUAAAAAAAAUCAUAAAAAUUAAGCUUUAGAUAUUGUUAUAUGUCAACGGCAACAAACCAGUAAGUUAAGGACAUAUAUGUUUUUCUUUGAUAACAUAAUAGCCACAGAAAUAUAUAUACUUAUACAGUCAAAUUAUAUUUAUCUUUGUAUAGUAAAGUAAUAAAGUCAUUAUUUUUAAAAGUGAAAUAAUUUCAUAUCAUAUUUUAUUUUUUAAGAUAUACUAUUUCACCACAAAAUACUUUUUAAAACGUUUUUAAAAUCUCUAAAAUUAAUUACUUUUAGAAUUUUAUGUUAUUUGUUUUCCUUAUAAAUUUCAAUUACGUUUAUUAUUAAGUUAUUUUUUGCUUUGAAGUUUAUAUAUUCAAAUUUAUUUAAAGUUAACAAUGUCUAUAUGUACAAUACAUGGGAUUCUUGCUAUGUAAAAAGCAUGAGACAAAAAACAAGAAAAACAAAGUUUGAUAACAAGGGUUUAAUAUCUGUCACGAAAAAAUCUUUUUCCGAAAUUGCAUGGGGACCGAAGAGUGUAGGGUUUCCGUCAAGGAUGGUGACCUCGUUAUGUUAUUCAGUGGUCACACUUGAGUUGUUGCCUGCUACGUGUAAACUGGCGGCAACAAGGCAUGUGCUUCUGUUCACAUUAUGAUUAUUUUAUUAACUAUUUCUUAGCUUCAGAUGAUUUAUUAAUCCAUGAAUCACAUAUAUAUAUAUAUAUAUAUAUAUAUAUAUAUAUAUAUAUAUAUAUAUAUAUAUAUAUAUAUUAAUUCCACUUCAAUUGGCAUAGCCUAUAUAUAUAUAUAUAUCUAUAUAAAAACUAUCCAACCGUUGUGUUAAAAAUUUAAAUAUUUUAUACUAUUAUUUUUUCUCUCACUCCUUUUUACUAAAAAUAUCUUACACUACACCGAGUUUCAAUGCUAGUUUCUUUUAUAUGACAUUGAUCCAUCUUUAUGUUUGACUGACGAUAAAGUUUGUAAUAUUGUGAUAUUUUUAAAAAGAUUAUACGGCAUCAUACUAUUAGUAUUCUAGGUGAAGUAUUUAAAAUAAAAAUAUUGUAUUAUCUUUAUAUUUGGUUACAGUAGUGACACACAAGUCAAAAUUUCAUUGGUUAAGUAAAAAAAGACAUCAAAACUCUCUAAAAUAGCAAAAUUAAGAAGCUCUGCAGCAAUUUCCUAUUUUUUAUGAAUAAUUAUAUUUAAGUAUACCGAUAUUAUAAAUAAUUUAUUAACAUAUAUUAAUUUUUUAUCACAUUAUAUUACAUCAUGUCUAUAUUUUUCUGUUGAAGUCCUAUAUGCUAUUUUCUCAAAAAUAGCUUGCCUUGCUCGUCACUUACAGGCUGGAAAUCGCUAAUCAAUAGCAGGAAAUAUCCCAGUGAAACUUGUCCUUUUUAUUCUUCUCUGUUUGGAUUUUCAUAAAUUUUUCCUUCAUGUUCAUAUCAAAGAGGUUGAAACUAAUAAUUUAAACUAGUUCUAAUAAAAUUGAGUCUAUAUAUUUUUUUAGGGACAAUAAUUGAGAUAGAAAUAUAUAUAUUUAGAAAACUUAUUUUUAUCAUCUUAUUGCACUAAUAAUUUUGCUAUUAAAAAAAUGUGAAAUUGCCCAAGGUUGUUGAAGGUUGCAAUCAAGUGCCGAAAAAAAUCCAAAUAAAAAUACAUACUCAUUUUAAAUAAGAAAAAAAAAAUUGAGAACCUUUUUUACUUGUUACGAGAUGUGCUCAACAAUUUCGUUGCAAUGCAACUCAUUUUAUAAACCACGUAACAAAAAAAACACUCAUUUUACAAAAUGUUUCAGAGAAUUAAAUCAACAAAUAUGGAGAGAAUGUAUAUCAAUUAAACAAGUUUUUUGUUUCUCUCCUCCAUGGAGUGGUGCUGUUAGCGAAAGUCGUGGCAUGCAAAUGAUGAGUCUAGAGACUAUUCUACUCUACUCUUCGCUGCUGGAUGACUAUAAUUAGGGAGUUGUUAAGUGCUGUAGAAAGCUGCAAUAUAUUAUUUCACGGAGGAAAAUGUUGCAUGGACCACUCCAUAUUAUUCUACACCAAGGAAGAGAAAGAGAAAGAAAUAUAUGUAUGCAUGAGGAGUAAUAAGAUGUGAUAUAUAUGAAAAAGAAAUAGCAUGCAUGUACGUUGAUAGUGUUUGUAAAAUAGUGGUAUCCGUGUAUCACUAUUCUUUAAUGUAAUUGGUGUGUGCAGCGGGGAGUGAAGGAGGAAAGGUGCAGAAUAUUAAUAAUUAAGACUUAAAGAUAGAGAAGAUUCAGGAGAAUGAAGAAUAUUGCAGUGUGAUGGUGGUGCAUGUGCAACGGCCAAAAGAGUACAUCGUGAACUCUUUCAAUUUGUUUUCUACUCAAAUGUAAAAAUUAAGGAAGCCAUUUUCUUUUUUCUUUUUAAAUUAUUUUUACUUAUUCUAGAAUGUACACAAGCCAAAGAUGCCCUUGUCAACAAUGUGAAAUUUUGAAUUUGUGAUUCUUUGGCGUUUCUCAUGACCAGCCUUGGAAAUGUUAUCACUUCCCGCGGAAUGAGAGCCUGUGGUGUGUGCAAGAAAAUAAACAGUGUCCACAAACAAUUAUUUACUCUAGAAGAAGAAGAAAAAAAUCCCUUCCUAUUAAAAUUAAUUUCUUACAAUGGGGUAAGAUGCAGUAAUAUCUAAGACACAGCCAUAAUGAACCAAAAUACUACAACCCACAUGUUCACAAGCUUACAAAAAGAUCCAACUGGAAGCGUUAUCACACUCUUCACUCGCUUCCACUCAAUCAGAUUUCAAGAACAUGCACCUUACGAUUUGUCUUUAAAUAGCUCCCAUGUCCCUUCACCAAUUCCCAUUCAACAUCAAUCAAAAUUACACACAUUUAGCUACCCUUACUUUCUAUGGCUUCCAACAAACUCCUGGCCACCAUUUUGGUGCUUUCUCUCCUCUCUUACUCAACAUUCACUCAUGCCAAUUGCCCACCACCCACUCCAUCUCCAAAGCCCACACCACCAACUCCAAUACCAACACCACCCACACCAAAGCCCACACCACCCACUCCAAAGCCCACACCACCAACUCCUAAGCCCACACCACCCACACCAAAUCCCACACCACCUACUCCAAAGCCUAGUUGUCCUCCUCCUUCUCCUCCUUCACCACCAUCAAACAAAGCCUCAUGCCCCAAGGACACAUUAAAGCUAGGUGCUUGUGCUGAUCUCUUAGGACUUGUUAACAUUAUUGUUGGAACUCCUCCUUCGA